UCCUCCGCUUAUUGAUAUGCUUAAGUUCAGCGGGGUUUCCCCCCCCCAUUCGCGGGGAGAGGGACUCGUCCCGCUCCCGUGACCGGAAACAACGAACCCCCGGCGUGGACUGCGCCUAGGAAAUCUUCAGAGAGAGCACGCUCCCGCGGCCCCGGAGACGGUGCGCCGCGGCAUGCGGCCCAUUGUUUCACACGUAUCCAAAACGACUCUCGGCAACGGAUAUCUCGGCUCUCGCAUCGAUGAAGACAGUAGCGAAAUGCGAUAUGCCAAAGAAUUGCAGAAUCCCGUGAACCAUCGAGUCUUCGAAGGCAAUUUGCGCCCCACGCCAUUAGGCCCAGGGCACGUCUGUCUUGGUGUCACGCAUAGUCGCCCCACCCCACCCCCCCAAACCAAGGCGGGGGCCCCGGGGUGCGGGCGGAGAUUGGCCUCCCGUGCGCUGACCGCUCGCGGUUGGCCCAAAUUUGAGUCCUCGGCGACCGAAGCCGCGGCGAUCGGUGGUGAAACAAAAGCCUCUUGAGCUCCCGCCGCGCGCCCGGUCUCCGAGUGGGGACUCUGCGGCCCGAAGCUCCGCGCAAGCGGCGCUGGCAUUGCGACCCCAGGUCAGGCGGGAUUACCCGUAGAGAUUAAGCAUAUCAAUAAGCGGAGGA
This 647-nucleotide ribosomal RNA is filed under the name Citrus sinensis (sweet orange). RNAcentral's name for it is "eukaryotic LSU rRNA". The stretch from base 205 to 359 matches the Rfam family "5.8S ribosomal RNA". Lineage: Eukaryota; Viridiplantae; Streptophyta; Magnoliopsida; Sapindales; Rutaceae. The record is from RNAcentral.